Molecule: long non-coding RNA, 807 nt
Organism: Antechinus flavipes (yellow-footed antechinus)
Lineage: Eukaryota; Metazoa; Chordata; Mammalia; Dasyuromorphia; Dasyuridae
Exons: 2
Source: RefSeq, a predicted model, not a curated record
UAGGAGCUUGAGUCUGGAAGCUGGUUCUGAUGCAUAUUAGUAGGAAGAAGAGGGAGUAAAACUCCUGGGGAAUUGCUAGCUACUUGAUAUUCAGCAGGGAAAGGGCUUUUGGCUAUUACUGCUGGACUUACUUUGACAGAGUGACAUAGAGAUUUCGAGAUUCCCUUGGAUUUCUUCAUUUAGCAGUAUGAGGAGACUUAAUUUUUUUUUUUUUUGGUUUUAUUUAGGUAAUUGGGGUUAAGUGACUUGCCCAAGGUCACACAGCUAGCAAGUGAGGAGACUAUUGACAUCCUGACAAUGAUCAUUGACAAGAGGAUAACCCCAACUCCUGUCCUUACUUGCCAAAAGAUAUAGUAGAUCUAUGGGAUAUUUGCUGGACUGAAAAUGUGAAUGGAUAUCCAGAGCUGGAAAUGAUGAGGUUAUGACCUUGUGAGCUUUGACAGGUCAAAGGGUCUUCAGAGGUCCUAUCAACAACAGGGGUCAGUAGCAGAGACCAGCAGCAGAAGGGUGAACAACCUGCUUGACCCAGCCUAGCCCGGACUGACCCGUCAGCAGAGCCAGUCCAAUCCACCAAAACAAUUUGUCCAUUGUGAUGUCGCAUGGAGUGAGUUUGUUGGAGGUUCUGCAAAGUGAGAAAAGCAUUCCAGGGCCUGGAGGCAGGACAGCGGGGCUUCACGUUAUCCAUGUAUAUUGCCUCAUAAGCCAGUGAUCCUCUCCCUAAUCCAGUCUGGCUACUGACUCCCUGGUUUCCCUUAAAUCCUAAAUAAAAUCCCACCUUCUACAGGAAGCUCUCCUAAGCCUUCUAAA